Molecule: ribosomal RNA, 253 nt
Filed under: uncultured bacterium
Lineage: Bacteria
Description: partial 16S ribosomal RNA
Rfam family: Bacterial small subunit ribosomal RNA
Source: RNAcentral
UACGUAGGGUGCGAGCGUUAAUCGGAAUUACUGGGCGUAAAGCGUGCGCAGGCGGUUUUGCAAGACAGAUGUGAAAUCCCCGGGCUCAACCUGGGAACUGCAUUUGUGACUGCAAGGCUAGAGUACGGCAGAGGGGGAUGGAAUUCCGCGUGUAGCAGUGAAAUGCGUAGAUAUGCGGAGGAACACCAAUGGCGAAGGCAAUCCCCUGGGCCUGUACUGACGCUCAUGCACGAAAGCGUGGGGAGCAAACAGG